UCCCUGGUAGCUCAGUCGGUAGAGCGGAUGACUGUUAAUCAUUAGGUCGGCGGUUCGAGCCCGUCCCAGGGAG
Molecule: transfer RNA, 73 nt
Organism: Legionella fallonii LLAP-10
Lineage: Bacteria; Pseudomonadati; Pseudomonadota; Gammaproteobacteria; Legionellales; Legionellaceae
Rfam family: tRNA
About the family: Transfer RNA (tRNA) molecules are approximately 80 nucleotides in length. Their secondary structure includes four short double-helical elements and three loops (D, anti-codon, and T loops). Further hydrogen bonds mediate the characteristic L-shaped molecular structure. tRNAs have two regions of fundamental functional importance: the anti-codon, which is responsible for specific mRNA codon recognition, and the 3' end, to which the tRNAs corresponding amino acid is attached (by aminoacyl-tRNA synthetases). tRNAs cope with the degeneracy of the genetic code in two manners: having more than one tRNA (with a specific anti-codon) for a particular amino acid; and 'wobble' base-pairing, i.e. permitting non-standard base-pairing at the 3rd anti-codon position.
Source: Rfam